This 27-nucleotide small RNA is filed under the name Bombyx mori (domestic silkworm). RNAcentral describes it as "ovarian small RNA-25842". The record is from RNAcentral. Lineage: Eukaryota; Metazoa; Arthropoda; Insecta; Lepidoptera; Bombycidae.
UCAGUUGAAAGGCAUUAGGGUCAGAGU